RNAcentral lists this ribosomal RNA (253 nucleotides) under uncultured bacterium. RNAcentral describes it as "partial 16S ribosomal RNA". It matches the Rfam family "Bacterial small subunit ribosomal RNA", at positions 524 to 776 of the family's 1533-position model. The record is from RNAcentral.
UACAGAGGGGGCAAGCGUUGUUCGGAAUUACUGGGCGUAAAGGGUGCGCAGGCGGUUUUGUAAGCCAGAUGUGAAAUCCCCGGGCUCAACCUGGGAAUGGCAUUUGGGACUGCAAGGCUAGAGUGUGGCAGAGGAGACUGGAAUUCCACGUGUAGCGGUGAAAUGCGUAGAGAUGUGGAGGAACACCGAUGGCGAAGGCAGCCUCCUGGGCCAACACUGACGCUCAUGCACGAAAGCGUGGGGAGCAAACAGG